AAAAAAUAUUUUGUUCAAGAUAGAAGAAUAUUGAAUAUUUUUUAUAUCUUAGAAUCCAUCCCAACGUACGAUGCGUACAAGUUUGGAGCGACUAUGUAUAAGUUAGGUUUAGAGUAAAAUUUGAUUAACGGAUUUCUUAUAGUAAAACUUGAUUAUCUAAUCCCUCUGUUAUUAAAGAUAACCGAAGAAAUAGAUUAUUAAUUAAAAAA
This 209-nucleotide long non-coding RNA is filed under the name Lathyrus oleraceus (garden pea). RNAcentral describes it as "Pisum sativum (pea) long non-coding RNA (PSAT_LNC019721)". The record is from RNAcentral. Lineage: Eukaryota; Viridiplantae; Streptophyta; Magnoliopsida; Fabales; Fabaceae.